This is an RNA transcript of Musa acuminata AAA Group (dessert banana), 1084 nucleotides long. It is a transcript of the gene named eukaryotic translation initiation factor 2 subunit alpha homolog, with no coding region annotated. The record is from RefSeq and is a predicted model, not a curated record. Lineage: Eukaryota; Viridiplantae; Streptophyta; Magnoliopsida; Zingiberales; Musaceae. The transcript is spliced from 7 exons.
AUGAACGUAGCCAUCGAGGGCAGAGGAGAGGCGAAGGUCACCAUCGGGUUCGGUGGUGUCGCAGCCGAAAUCGCCGGAGAAGGUGGAGACAGCGGAGCUCAGAUCCGCUCCGUCUCCUCCCUCAUCAAGGUCGGCUGCCAGGAGCCUGUCAUGGUCCUCCUCGUCGACCGCGACAAGGGCCACAUCGAUCUCUCCUAGCGCCGUGUCUCCGAGGAGGACAUACAGGCAUGCGAAGAGCGCUACACCAAGAGCAAGCUCGUCCGCUCCAUCAUGCGCCACGUCUCCGACACAAUCGACAUCGACCUCGAGGAGCUGUACAUCCACAUCGGCUGGCCUGUCUGUCGCAAGUGCGGCCACGCUUUCGAGGCGUUCAAGAUAAUCGUGACGGAUCCAGACUGUUCUUGAUUCCCUGACUCGGCAAGUGAACGAAGUUGGGCCUGAUGGGCAGGAGGUGGCUAAGGUAGUGCCUGCAGUGACACCUGAAGUGAAGGAUGCAUUGGUCAAGAAUAUUAGGAGAAGGAUGACACCGCAGCCACUAAAGAUACGUGCCGACAUCGAGAUGAAGUGUUUCCAAUUCGAUGGAGUUCUUCACAUUAAGGAAGCCACGAGGAAAGCUGAAGCUGCAGGAAAUGAUGAUUGUCCUGUGAAAAUCAAGCUAGUUGCCCCUCCGCUCUAUGUCCUUACCACACAGACUCUUGAUAAGGAACAAGGUAUAUCAGUGCUCAACAAUGCAAUUAAGGCUUGCACAGAAGAGAUAGAACGGUACAAGGGGAAACUAACGCUCAAGGAGGCACCAAUAGCUGUGAGUGAACGCAGAUGGCACGCUAUUCGCUGAGCACAUGGCAGAACUACAUUCUGCUAACGAGGAGGUUGAUGGUGAUGAAGGUAGCGAAGAGGAGGAAGAUACAGGAAUGGGAGAAAUGGACGUGGAGAACUCCGGUGUUGGCAUGGCGGAUUGAAGACAUCAUUGAGCGGAUUAAGUUGGAUGGUUUUGUAUCCGAGUGUACUAAUAUAGAUAACUGUAUACUAUGUUAAGCUAUGUCUAAUUAUUGGAACAGCAAGCGACAUCAUCUUCUUUUCUUCA